RNAcentral lists this transfer RNA (69 nucleotides) under Cyanoplax caverna. Its description in RNAcentral is "tRNA-Ser". The record is from RNAcentral. Lineage: Eukaryota; Metazoa; Mollusca; Polyplacophora; Chitonida; Tonicellidae.
UAAGAAAAGUUUGGAACAAAUUUCAGCUGCUAACUGAAAUUUAAGCAGUUCAAUUCUGUUUUUUCUUUA